CGCACAUUGCGCCCCCUGGUAUUCCGGGGGGCAUGCCUGUUCGAGCGUCAUUACAACCCUCAAGCUCAGCUUGGUAUUGGGCUCGCCACUCAUCUGGCGGGCCCUAAAAUCAGUGGCGGUGCCGUCGUGGCCCUGAGCGCAGUACAUCUCCUCGCUACAGGGACUCGGCAGUCCCAGCUAAACGACCUGAAUUUUAUCAAGUCUGACCUCGGAUCAGGUAGGGAUACCCGCUGAACUUAA
This 240-nucleotide unclassified non-coding RNA is filed under the name Helotiales sp. RNAcentral describes it as "partial contains 5.8S ribosomal RNA, internal transcribed spacer 2, and large subunit ribosomal RNA". Lineage: Eukaryota; Fungi; Ascomycota; Leotiomycetes; Helotiales. The record is from RNAcentral.